RNAcentral lists this unclassified non-coding RNA (1829 nucleotides) under Hevea brasiliensis (rubber tree). Lineage: Eukaryota; Viridiplantae; Streptophyta; Magnoliopsida; Malpighiales; Euphorbiaceae. The record is from RNAcentral.
GGGAAAAAAAAAAAUUCAAAGUGCAAUCUACACCAUGAGCAACGGAGAAGAAGAUGCAGCACGACGGCGUACUGUGGUGGCGGAUUAUCGCAAGAAGUUACUCCAGCACAAAGAGUUGGAGUCCAGAGUACGAGCUGUGAGAGAGAACCUGAGAUCUGCAAAGAAAGAAUUCAACAAGACAGAGGAUGAUUUGAAGUCCCUUCAAAGUGUAGGGCAGAUCAUUGGAGAAGUUCUCCGACCUCUUGACAAUGAGCGCUUAAUUGUUAAAGCAAGCAGUGGCCCUCGAUAUGUGGUUGGCUGCCGCAGUAAGGUUGAUAAGGAAAAAUUGACUGCCGGAACUAGGGUGGUUCUUGACAUGACAACGCUCACAAUCAUGCGGGCUCUUCCACGUGAAGUAGAUCCGGUCGUUUAUAAUAUGCUUCAUGAGGAUCCUGGUAAUGUGAGCUACUCAGCUGUGGGUGGUUUAUCUGAUCAAAUCAGAGAAUUGAGGGAAUCCAUUGAGCUACCUCUUAUGAACCCUGAGCUUUUCCUUAGAGUGGGGAUUAAACCUCCCAAGGGUGUCCUUCUUUAUGGACCUCCUGGUACUGGAAAGACAUUACUGGCUCGGGCUAUUGCAAGUAACAUAGAUGCCAACUUUUUGAAGGUUGUUUCAAGUGCCAUUAUCGACAAAUACAUUGGAGAAAGUGCUAGGUUGAUACGAGAAAUGUUUGGAUAUGCUCGAGAUCACCAACCCUGCAUCAUUUUCAUGGAUGAGAUUGAUGCCAUUGGUGGACGCCGUUUUAGUGAAGGAACGAGUGCUGAUCGUGAAAUUCAAAGAACGCUGAUGGAGUUACUUAAUCAGCUUGAUGGAUUUGACCAGCUUGGGAAGGUUAAAAUGAUAAUGGCAACAAACAGACCUGAUGUUCUCGAUCCUGCACUUCUUCGUCCUGGGCGAUUAGACAGGAAGAUAGAAAUUCCACUGCCAAACGAACAAUCAAGAAUGGAAAUUCUUAAAAUUCAUGCUGCUGGCAUUGCCAAGCAUGGGGAGAUCGACUAUGAGGCUGUUGUGAAACUUGCAGAGGGUUUUAAUGGAGCUGAUCUCCGCAAUGUUUGCACCGAAGCAGGAAUGUCAGCAAUCCGAGCUGAACGUGAUUAUGUCAUCCAUGAAGAUUUUAUGAAGGCUGUCAGGAAGCUUAACGAAGCAAAGAAACUUGAAUCAAGUGCACAUUAUAAUGCUGAUUUUGGGAAGGACUAGAAGCUCGCUUGUGUUGCCAUUGAGAUGGAGGCAGUGCAUUUAUUUCAAAAAUAUAUGGUGCAUUGUUUGUUUUUUGGCCAUGACAAACAAUAUUAUCACAGUUUAUGGAUUUCACUCUUCAAGUUUUCAAAUAUUCUACUUCAUCGGUCUUUUGAACAUGUUGAAAAUGAAUUUCACUUGUUUCUUUCUAGAUGACAUAUUUGUAGUUAUUCAUAGGAUUCUACAUGGCUUUUCUAAUUCCUAUGCCUAUAUUCUUCAGUGGUUGUUUUGAAGCAUGGCAGUGAUAGAACUGCCACCAUCAAGCUAUCAUUGUGAAUUCUGUAUUUACUUUGCUUUUAAUUUCGUACUUAUGUUUUGUCUCCAUUGCAAGGGGGGCGUAGCUAUUUCUCCCAGCAUUCUGUUAACCAAAUUUAGAACAGAGACUCAAAUGAAGAUGGGAAAAGGGAUGAGAUGGGAGAUUCAAAGUUGGUCUUGGAUUUUGCUUUUGUUUGAAAAUUACCCUUCAUUUGUCCAUGGAAAACCUGUACUACAUAAAAGUAGAAAUUUUAAAGUCUUUGCUAUUUUGGCCUGUAGCCAAUUUCACCUACGGUUAUAA